This 405-nucleotide ribosomal RNA is filed under the name uncultured bacterium. Its description in RNAcentral is "partial 16S ribosomal RNA". It matches the Rfam family "Bacterial small subunit ribosomal RNA", at positions 28 to 526 of the family's 1533-position model. The record is from RNAcentral.
GACGAACGCUGGCGGCGUGCUUAACACAUGCAAGUCGAGCGGAGCGGCGAACGGGUGAGUAACGCGUGAGUAACUGCCCCCCUCUCUGGGAUAACAGUUGGAAACGGCUGCUAAUACCAGAUAGUGGGGGAUGACUCGCGUCCGAUAAGCUUGUGGGUGGGGUAGGGGCCUACCAAGGCGACGACGGGUAGCCGGCCUGAGAGGGCGACCGGCCAUAUGGGGCUGAGAUACGGAUCGAAAUCCUACUGGAGGAAGUAGUGGGGCAGAUUGCACAAUGGGGUAAACCCUGAUGGAGGAACGCCGCGUGCGGGAUGAUGGCCUUCGGGUUGUAAACUGCUUUCAGCAAUGACGCGGUAGUGGCAGAAGAAGCACCGGCUAACUACGUGCCAGCAGCCGCGGUAAUUC